GCCACACAGGCCCACACAAUGGCGGAUGCCACGUGCGUCUACAAUGGCGCAAAGUGGGGACCGACAUUCUGACAAGGUUGGACGCAAUCUUCUACGCCUUUUGGGCAAAACUGGCACACAGAGAGAGGCAGAUUAACAUACCAGCGACCUUAUCCAAAGAAAGACCCACUCGUGCCGGCCAGAGCUGCAUUGACCCCUUUUCGAAGGCAGUCACAAGAUGGCGCCGAAGAUGCAGAUCUCUCCUGCCUGCCCGCAAGUGAUUGAACCAAGCAGUGAUGACAACUCGCAGUGACUUGCAGGUUCCAACUAAACCUUGCAUGAAGCAGAGUCCUGCUAAGCAACCUCCGAGAGGCAGACUCCCAUCACAGCACGGAACCUGACAACACCACGGGGAGUUCCAGAGUCCAAGACAGGGGCACCAUCUACCUGCACCAUGACCACAGGUACCCAAAGCGAUAGGCGAACGGGCCCAACACCGGAAUUAAUACAGCUGGACUUUGCCCUGCCCCAGCAGGACUUACAUGCCUCCCUAAUGCCUUUUCCUAUGCUGUGCAUCGGCUGAAGGGGUACUCACAUCCCAGGCAACACGGAGGACACUGCCCGGAACCUCAGUCAAAACGGACUCAGGCUAGUCUCAUCUACAGCCUCCCAAGCCGAGACCGAUGUUCAACACUGAACUCUCAUGUUAUGCAAUGCUUAAAAGUUUAGUGAUCGUUGUUUAUAUUAAUAAUCGCUACACAAUAACGC
Molecule: non-coding RNA, 747 nt
Organism: Pelobates cultripes (western spadefoot toad)
Lineage: Eukaryota; Metazoa; Chordata; Amphibia; Anura; Pelobatidae
Source: the annotation of a GenBank genome assembly